RNAcentral lists this ribosomal RNA (546 nucleotides) under uncultured archaeon. RNAcentral describes it as "bacterial SSU rRNA". It matches the Rfam family "Archaeal small subunit ribosomal RNA", at positions 326 to 876 of the family's 1478-position model. The record is from RNAcentral.
CGGGGUGCACCAGGCGCGAAAACUUUACAAUGCGGGAAACCGUGAUAAGGGAACUCCGAGUGCCCGUAAGAUCGGGCUGUCCAUCUGUUUAAAUAACAGGUGAAGAAAGGGCCGGGCAAGACCGGUGCCAGCCGCCGCGGUAAUACCGGCGGCUCGAGUGGUGGCCACUAUUACUGGGCUUAAAGCGUUCGUAGCUGGUCUGUUAAGUCUCUGGGGAAAUCUACUGGCUUAACCAAUAGGCGUUUCAGGGAUACUGGCAGACUAGGGACCGGGAGAGGUGAGGGGUACUCCAGGGGUAGGAGUGAAAUCCUGUAAUCCUUGGGGGACCACCUGUGGCGAAGGCGCCUCACCAGAACGGCUCCGACAGUGAGGGACGAAAGCUGGGGGAGCAAACCGGAUUAGAUACCCGGGUAGUCCCAGCCGUAAACGAUGCGCGUUAGGUGUAUCGGUGACCACGAGUCACCGAGGUGCCGAAGAGAAAUCGUGAAACGUGCCGCCUGGGAAGUACGGUCGCAAGGCUGAAACUUAAAGGAAUUGGCGGGGGAG